Eriocheir sinensis (Chinese mitten crab) is the source of this 1659-nucleotide RNA transcript. It is a transcript of the gene named merozoite surface protein 1-like, with no coding region annotated. The transcript is spliced from 2 exons. NCBI's taxonomy places the organism in Eukaryota, Metazoa, Arthropoda, Malacostraca, Decapoda, Varunidae. The record is from RefSeq and is a predicted model, not a curated record.
GCAUGAUUGCCUUGUGGGUGCAUUUAUUGGUUGUAGUGGCGGCUGAAGUGGAUGAAGAAGGCUUGAUGGCAGGGUGGGUAGGGGGCAGGGGUGAUAAUUAUUGGGGGUGGAGGGGAAGGGGGUAGCGAUAGAGUGACCUGUUGGUAUCGCUCGUGGGCGUGUUAUCAGGGCGGGACGUCGGCGGAGACAGCCCAGGGGGUCUUGUGACGUUACCAAGGAAUCCUGGGUAUUGAAUACGUGGCGCUGCGCAUGCGUCACCCAUCAGCCGUGUCGUGCCCCGGAGACGGCCGCGGCAGUACAGCUCCGACCAGCCACCAAAGAGCAACCCAGAGUCCACUUCUGCCAGCAUUGGAAUGCUCUUUCCUGUUUACACUUUUACAAUAAAGCAACAACCACACAGGUUAAGGUCUCAGAAGUUCAUCUGCAGCGGAAGGAGAAGGAAGUCAGUGACGAGGUCUCUUUUGUCAGUCAUGGAUCACCAAAACAGCGCCACCAGCAGCACCAGAAGCGUCGACGGCGUCAACGGUGGCAGAAGCGUGUGGCAACGAGUGUCGAGACCCGAGGUGGUGCUGGCAGUGGGCUCACCCAUCCUGCUCUUGGUCGACAUCGGCCUCAUCAUCGUCUUCGUGCUGAAGGAAAAUUGGCAGGGCGUCAUCUACAGCGGCGUCGUCUUCCUCGCCUGGAGCCAGGUCAUCUUCUGGUUCUUCAGGACUCGCACCCUCCUCGUCGCCCACCGCCAGGUAAAUGGUUGCUUUGUUUUCCUAGGCUUCCUUUAACUUUCUUAAAUGUUUCCACAGACGGAGGAAAGAUGGAGGGCAGUGGACGCUGAGAAAGAAAGGGAGAAAGAGGAGAGAGAAACGAAGAAGUAGUGGCUCGAUGGAGGAUGAGAUAAAAGGUCCUCAGCUGCUGGUGGCCGCGGACAAAAGCCAAUUUGAAAGUGCUUCCACCACCUGCUUGAAGCAGCGCUGCCCCCGCCACUCUCGCCGUGAGCCCUCACCUCCCCUAGGGGCCUCCUGUCCUCGGCACAAACAUGUCUCACAUAUGCAUGACACUAUUCUUUAUCUAUAUUAUUUUUUUUUAUAUUACUUAUUGCCAUGUGAAUGUACGUGUUUCCCACGGUGGCCCCUUCGAAGGCCUGCCGGGGGAGGUUCUCAAUAAAGGGUGAGCACAGAGGCCACAGGGCGGGCCAGUCGGUCCGGCGUGGUUGUGCCAGGUGUUGGUGGGAGGUCUUUUCUCUUUACUAGAUUAAGUUUUUUAUUGAAGCAAAUACAUUUUACGAUCUUUUGAAGGCAUGUACUGAUUCAUCCCUGUCUGUGGGUGUCAGUGUCGUUGUUGUUGUUGUUGUUGUUGUUGUUGUGUUGGUGGGAGUGGUCUGUGUUGUGUGUGGACAACAGGGAUGUGUGUUUCAGAACAGUGCGUUGCUGGUUGUGCUCUUUCGCCACACGGAAGUGGUGUUAUCGUCCACGAGAACCGCGGGAUUACGAAGUGCUAGUGUUAGUGUUAGACAAGUGAAUUCUUCCUACGGAGGUCAAGAUUCGUUCUGGCACUCGUGACCCUGAGGCUGCCGAUUCACCACCACCCUAUGAGGAGGUGAUCAAGACCGAGGCGCCGCCCCCACCAUACUACAUGGUGGUGCCUGAAGGGGGCUGGUCCACUAGC